RNAcentral lists this ribosomal RNA (497 nucleotides) under uncultured bacterium. RNAcentral's name for it is "bacterial SSU rRNA". It matches the Rfam family "Bacterial small subunit ribosomal RNA", at positions 16 to 507 of the family's 1533-position model. The record is from RNAcentral.
AUCCUGGCUCAGAACGAACGCUGGCGGCAUGCUUCAUACAUGCAAGUCGAACGGUUGUAGCAAUACAAUAGUGGCGAACGGGUGAGUAACACGUGGAUAAUCUGCCCUUUGCGGGGGAUAUCGGCUGGAAACGGCCGGCAAUACCGCAUGUGGUUCGUGGGUCUUCGGCCCUGCGAAAGAAAGGCGCUUCACGGCGUCACCAGAGGAUGAGUCCGCGGCCCAUUAGCUAGUUGGUGAGAUAACAGCCCACCAAGGCUUUGAUGGGUAGCCGAGCUGAGAGGUUGAUCGGCCACACUGGAACUGAGACACGGUCCAGACACCUACGGGUGGCAGCAGUAGGGAAUAUUGGACAAUGGGCGCAAGCCUGAUCCAGCAAUGCCGCGUGAGUGACGAAGGAUUUCGGUCUGUAAAGCUUCUUUUCUGGGGGAAGAAAUGAUGGAAGAGGAAAUGCUUCCAUUUUGACGGUACCUCAGGAAUAAGGGACGGCUAACUCCGUG